This 374-nucleotide ribosomal RNA is filed under the name uncultured organism. RNAcentral's name for it is "bacterial SSU rRNA". It matches the Rfam family "Bacterial small subunit ribosomal RNA", at positions 526 to 896 of the family's 1533-position model. The record is from RNAcentral.
CGGGGGGAGCAAGCGUUGUUCGGAUUUACUGGGCGUAAAGGGCGCGUAGGCGGCCUCUGCAAGUCGACUGUGAAAUCUCCGGGCUUAACCCGGAAAGGUCAGCCGAUACUGCAGGGCUAGAGUGCAGAAGGGGCAACUGGAAUUCUCGGUGUAGCGGUGAAAAGCGUAGAUAUCGAGAGGAACACCUGCGGCGAAGGCGGGUUGCUGGGCUGACACUGACGCUGAAGUGCGAAAGCUAGGGGAGCGAACGGGAUUAGAUACCCCGGUAGUCCUAGCCUUAAACGAUGAAUGCUUGGUGUCUGGGGUUUUAUAGUCCCCGGGUGCCGUCGCUAACGCUUUAAGCAUUCCGCCUGGGGAGUACGGUCGCAAGACUG